RNAcentral lists this ribosomal RNA (301 nucleotides) under Photobacterium sp. KR10-04. RNAcentral describes it as "bacterial SSU rRNA". It matches the Rfam family "Bacterial small subunit ribosomal RNA", at positions 1138 to 1439 of the family's 1533-position model. Lineage: Bacteria; Pseudomonadati; Pseudomonadota; Gammaproteobacteria; Vibrionales; Vibrionaceae. The record is from RNAcentral.
CUCCAGGGAGNCUNCCGNUGAUAAACCGGAGGAAGGUGGGGACGACGUCAAGUCAUCAUGGCCCUUACGAGUAGGGCUACACACGUGCUACAAUGGCGUAUACAGAGGGCUGCCAACUCGCGAGAGUGAGCGAAUCCCAGAAAGUACGUCGUAGUCCGGAUUGGAGUCUGCAACUCGACUCCAUGAAGUCGGAAUCGCUAGUAAUCGUGGAUCAGAAUGCCACGGUGAAUACGUUCCCGGGCCUUGUACACACCGCCCGUCACACCAUGGGAGUGGGCUGCACCAGAAGUAGAUAGCUAAC